UAUCUGGGUCAGCAGCUCGGCAGGUGCUUCCCCGAGCAGCGCGCAGUCCGCAGCCGGGAAAAGUGGCCCAAGUUCCGCUCUCCUCCAUCUCAAGGAUGGGCACAGAGGGGGAAGCCUAACUAAAAACAGGAAACUAAAAAAUAUUUUAAAGCCUCAUUCAGGCUGAAUUACGGAGCGAGCGAGCGAGCGAGCGAGCGAAUAAAGUCCUGAGCCCACAGAGCGCCACAUUCACCCGGCACAGCACUGCACCCGGGAGGACGCUAGAGGGGUGACCGCGGGCCAGGUGGGUGCCCAAGGAGGGUGGAGGUGCCAACGCAGGCAGCGGGGCAGGGAGGUGGAGAGGGCUGCAGGGAGAUGGCCUGAGCGCAGAGUCCCUUAGAACGGGUUCAGAGCCAGGCGUGGUGGCGCAUGUCUGUAAUCCCAGCACUUGGGAGGCUGAGGCAAGAGUAUCCCGAGACUAGCCUGGGCUACAUAGCAAGACCGUCUCAAAUAAAUAAAUAAAUAAAUAAAUAGGUAGGUAGAUAGAUCGAUAGAUAGAAAGAAAAGGCACAGGGUGAGGGGCCAGACUCAGGGUUACUGUAGUGGUCUCACCUCCUUCUAUGACAAGGUGGGCAUAAGGCAGGCAGUUGCUGUCAAAUGAUAGCUUCAACGGUGGAGUCUCUUUAAUCUUGCCAGGGAGGUAAAGCACCCGUUGUUGUUGCUGUUAUCCUAUUCAUUCUGCAGUGCUGGGGAUCGAACCCAGGCCCUUGCGCAUGCUAAGCACAAGCCCUAACGCUGCUAUUGUUGCCUUGGAACGAUGAGGGUCUGGGGCUGGAAUGCAAGGGGCUCCUUAUCCCGGGCGAGCAUGUGCCGCGUGGCUUCAGAGGCUGUGCUCCUCCGGGCCAGAAGAGAGUACAGGGUUGGGCAAUACUGGGCAGGUGGCUGCCCUGUCCCAGCACUCCCGGCCGGGCUGCAGGCUUGGACUCUCACUGGGGACUUGCAGGGCGGGGGGCCCUAAGAGGAGCCGCAGGUCCCUUCGGGGGGAACUUUGGGUUCAGCCUAACGCCCUUCUCGUUGGGGCUUCUGGGGCUCACAGCCUCCUCCAACCCCAGGCUCUGCUGCCUGGGCCUCAGCAGAGAUCUCAGGCCAUGCAGGGAGAUCCCAGCCACAGACAUUUCAGAGACAAAACAUGAUGACCGAGAUUCCCUAGUACUUGUCCGUAGCCCUGCUUUGGCUGGGUUGCAACUUUUUAUCUAUGUAUUUAUUUACUAAUUAGACAAGGUCUUGCCAUGCAGUGCAGGCUGGCCUUGAGUUCAUUAUGUAGCCCAGGUUGGCCUUGAAUGCAUGGCGAUCCUCCUGCCUCAGCCUCCCAAGUGCUGGGAUUACACAGCACUCCGGUUUUCAGUUUCUUGUGCUGCAGUUCGAUGAGGAAUGCUUUGCAACUUCCAAGAGGCAAUGAUUCAGAUCCUGCUUCUCACUGCAGAAGAUGCUGCCUGGGGAGAAAGGAGUGCUGAGCGCCCAGCCGCCCUUCACGCAUGUCCUCCUGGCCCCACCGCAGCCCAGCAGUGACUGUCAUUCAGCACCUGCAUCCCAAUUUCUGGGUGCGAAAGCCCAGGUUUGGGAAGGUGGAAGCAUUUUGGGGAGGACAUAGAUUCAGUAAGUGUCCAACUUCUGGAUCCUCCCCUCUCACCCCCACACCGUGUCUCCUAAAAAGUUUACAUCCUGAACACCUGGGACGUUUGCUUUCUGAGCCCCUAAUGAAGGACUUAUCAUGCCCCCCUUUUUGUUUGGGGUGCCAGGAAGCUCAAAGUAAACUUACCCAGGAUCUGUCUUCAUCCCUCAAGUUCCUGACAGGAUUGCCUCUGCCUACCCCCCUCUGGUUUCUGAUCUCAUGCUCUAUUUUUAGCUGUUGUUGAGUGUGUUGUGGAGGAAGCUGCCUCAAGUUCCCUUUGAACUGUAAAUAAACCGAAGCCGUUCUGGUGGUGGAUUCACAGCA
Molecule: long non-coding RNA, 1975 nt
Filed under: Heterocephalus glaber (naked mole-rat)
Lineage: Eukaryota; Metazoa; Chordata; Mammalia; Rodentia; Bathyergidae
Description: lncRNA (ENSHGLG00000043340.1)
Source: RNAcentral